GGCGAAGUAGCUCAGUUGGUCAGAGCAGGCGGCUCAUAUCCGCCGUGUCGGGGGUUCAAAUCCCUCCUUCGCCACCA
Molecule: transfer RNA, 77 nt
Filed under: Myxococcota bacterium
Lineage: Bacteria; Pseudomonadati; Myxococcota
Description: tRNA-Met
Rfam family: tRNA
About the family: Transfer RNA (tRNA) molecules are approximately 80 nucleotides in length. Their secondary structure includes four short double-helical elements and three loops (D, anti-codon, and T loops).
Source: RNAcentral